AGCUUGUCCAGGUAACAUCACCACCACUCCAGGGUUGGUCAACAAUGGACAUCACCUCUACCUCUGGUGUCUGCCUUUCUGCCUUCCUUUGACAUCUACUGAUUAACUGAUCUCCUGAAUCUCGGAGGACUCUCUGCCUUUUGAAUCUGACCCAGGCAUGCAAGAAAUCAUUCGUCCUUCAGCAAGAGGAGAGGGCCUCUAGUGCUGGUCUGUCUACUGAAAUGCUGCCCGGCUGAAGACUAGGAGGGAGCAGGGCAUGUCUGUGGGUUUUGCCUUUCAUGGGGUCUUGAAUGACCAGAGAGAGACUGGAUGUGGCACUCUCUCAGGCUCCAGGGGGAAAUUUGAGAUAUUUCCCCUCUUUUCUCCCUCUACAACUCCUCACUUUUUUCUUUUUACAUUCUUCCUUUACUGCUCUAUUCACAAUGCUUGUCUGUCAACAAGCUGCUGUAGCUACAAAGACCCUGGCUACUUUCCUCUGAUGCGCCUACCUAGACCUUAUAAUUGUUGUCUUACCAGACAAGUUUAGAUCUAGCUACUCUGUCUAAUACUGUCUGGUAAUGCCGUCCAUUACAAGGUGUCUCAUCGCUCUUCUUCUGUCAGUUUCUUGGACAAUCUGUACAAAUAAACUGGUAUCAGGUCAUUUGAUGUCUUUUUCCCUCAAUGAUGUUUUCCAUAACUGGCUUGUAAGGUUUAAUUGCAGGUCAAAUAAAAAUUGUGUUGAAUUAUGUCAUUGUAUGCAAUAUCCCUAGUCAAAAAAAUGCUAUAGGAUUCCCCCCCCCCCAAAAUAUCCAAUUGCAAUUCCAAAGAAAUUUCAAUCAGAUUUUGGAAGCUAUCCUAUAGGACUUUAUCCCAUGGUAUAUUGCCUAGUACCUAGGACAGAAUCCUAUAGGAGUCCAAUAGGACUGGUUCCAAAAUCUGAUAGGAUUUUCUUUUGGCUUCUAUUAUUGACUAGGGUAACUUGUUAUUUAAAAAAAAAAAUUGUACAGGACAGAUGUAAGUACAGAUAUGGAGACAGAUAUAGAGAGGGGUAAAGUGGUUAAGGGCACAGACAUUCGGCCAAGCCAGGGCUCAAAUCCCCGUCUAGGAGGGGGCAUAUGUGGUCCGGAUUUGGGGGCUUAGACCGCUACACCAGACUCCAGCACACUGAUAAAAAUGUUCUAUUAGAUUCUUGUGUAUAUAAAAUCCUAUUCAAUAGAAUCCUAUAUUAGUCCAAUAGGACUGGUUCCAAAAUCUGAUAGGAUUUUCAUAUUGGCCUCUAAUUAGAUCCUUGUAUUGGAAUCCUAUCGGAUUAAACACUAUACGCUAUAGUUAACUUGGCUGCUUAACACAUGGAGCACCCGUGGGCAGUGGACACGUCAACUAUAACAUCAUAAGCAAACAAUAUUGAACUGCCUCCUUUUCCACUUGAGAUGCCGACCCUAUAGUGGAGAACCGCCGGCAAUGUCGAGAUAGGGAAAAUGGGGAGGGAGCACCUUCUAAGGAUGGAGGGAGGGUAGAGGUGACAGCUCUGGGGGAAAGGAGGCAGGGG
Molecule: long non-coding RNA, 1528 nt
Filed under: Salmo trutta (river trout)
Lineage: Eukaryota; Metazoa; Chordata; Actinopteri; Salmoniformes; Salmonidae
Description: lncRNA (ENSSTUG00000044188.1)
Rfam family: mir-8/mir-141/mir-200 microRNA precursor family (bases 501-568)
Source: RNAcentral